RNAcentral lists this ribosomal RNA (397 nucleotides) under uncultured bacterium. Its description in RNAcentral is "bacterial SSU rRNA". It matches the Rfam family "Bacterial small subunit ribosomal RNA", at positions 30 to 429 of the family's 1533-position model. The record is from RNAcentral.
AUUGAACGCUGGCGGCAUGCCUUACACAUGCAAGUCGAACGGCAGCACGGGAGCAAUCCUGGUGGCGAGUGGUGAACGGGUGAGUAAUGUAUCGGAACGUACCUUUCAGUGGGGGAUAACGUAGCGAAAGUUACGCUAAUACCGCAUAUUCUGUGAGCAGGAAAGCAGGGGAUCGCAAGACCUUGCGCUGAUUGAGCGGCCGAUAUCAGAUUAGCUAGUUGGUGAGGUAAAGGCUCACCAAGGCGACGAUCUGUAGCGGGUCUGAGAGGAUGAUCCGCCACACUGGAACUGAGACACGGUCCAGACUCCUACGGGAGGCAGCAGUGGGGAAUUUUGGACAAUGGGCGCAAGCCUGAUCCAGCCAUGCCGCGUGAGUGAAGAAGGCCUCGGUUGUAAG